This 206-nucleotide long non-coding RNA is filed under the name Elaeis guineensis (African oil palm). RNAcentral describes it as "long non-coding RNA (EGUI_LNC023986)". Lineage: Eukaryota; Viridiplantae; Streptophyta; Magnoliopsida; Arecales; Arecaceae. The record is from RNAcentral.
GCCUGGUGUUAUUUUGUAGAUGUAGUUGAUCGAAGCUUUCAAAAUUUUGAAUUUUAAUAUUUCACUCUGAAUAUUGUACAUGUGAACAACUUUAUUGAUAAUACAUCUUCAAAUUAUUGGCAUUUCAGAUCCGAGGAGUAAUUAUUUUAUCAAGAAUUUCUAGCUGAUAUGCAUCCGGUCGAAAUGUCUCAGUUAUUCUGUAGGAU